ACAGAAGCUUUGGCGGUCCAAUUUUCCGCCAAGAAAUUGCGAGGAUCGCGAGCGAUGUGAGCUUUGAGAGCAAGAAGGGCAUAUUGGUCGGUGGUUGUGUUCGUUCUCGAAUGAAAAUCUGGGGUGAUAUUGGUUCUUGUUACAGUCAAGCAGGCCAAAAUAUGAAGCACCGUGAAAGAUAUGGAAAGUCCAGGUCUGAAAACCUAUGAUCGAAAGAUCCAAACUUAUCACUCAUUGAUGUCGAGCACCGAUAUUACGUGUAGCAUGAACAAGGAGAA
RNAcentral lists this unclassified non-coding RNA (278 nucleotides) under Hevea brasiliensis (rubber tree). The record is from RNAcentral. Lineage: Eukaryota; Viridiplantae; Streptophyta; Magnoliopsida; Malpighiales; Euphorbiaceae.